UACGGAGGGUGCAAGCGUUAUCCGGAUUUACUGGGUUUAAAGGGUGCGUAGGUGGGUCUGUAAGUCAGUGGUGAAAUCUCCGAGCUUAACUCGGAAACUGCCAUUGAUACUAUAGAUCUUGAAUUAUCUGGAGGUAAGCGGAAUAUGUCAUGUAGCGGUGAAAUGCUUAGAUAUGACAUAGAACACCGAUUGCGAAGGCAGCUUACUACACGAUCAUUGACGCUGAGGCACGAAAGCGUGGGGAGCAAACAGG
Molecule: ribosomal RNA, 253 nt
Filed under: uncultured bacterium
Lineage: Bacteria
Description: partial 16S ribosomal RNA
Rfam family: Bacterial small subunit ribosomal RNA
Source: RNAcentral